Long non-coding RNA from Anguilla anguilla (European eel), 1193 nucleotides. RefSeq lists it as uncharacterized. The record is from RefSeq and is a predicted model, not a curated record. The transcript has 3 exons. NCBI's taxonomy places the organism in Eukaryota, Metazoa, Chordata, Actinopteri, Anguilliformes, Anguillidae.
GACCGGAGCUGUUAACUCCUGCCUGUGUUAUAGAGAGCUAGUGAGCUGUGUCAUGGAGUGUUGUGUUAUGGAGAGCUGGUGAGCUGUGUUUUGGAGAGCUGUGUUAUAGAGUGUUGUGUUAUGGAGAGUUGUGUUAUAGAGUGUUGUGUUAUGGAGAGCUGGUGAGCUGUGUUUUGGAGAGCUGUGUUAUGGAGUGUUGUGUUAUGGAGAGCUGGUGAGCUGUGUUUUGGAGAGCUGUGUCAUAGAGUGUUGUGUUAUGGAGUGUUGUGUUAUGGAGAGCUGGUGAGCUGUGUUUUGGAGAGCUGUGUCAUAGAGUGUUGUGUUAUGGAGAGCUGUGUUAUAGCGUGUUGUGUUAUGGAGAGCUGUGUUAUGGAGAGCUAGUGAGCUGUGUUAUGGAGAGCUAGUGAGCUGUGUUUUGGAGAGCUAGUGAGCUGUGUUAUAGAGUGUUGUGUUAUGGAGUGUUAUGUUAUGGAGAGCUGUGUUAUAGAGUGUUGUGUUAUGGAGAGCUGUGUUAUGGAGAGCUAGUGAGCUGUGUUAUGGAGAGCUAGUGAGCUGUGUUUUGGAGAGCUAGUGAGCUGUGUUAUAGAGUGUUGUGUUAUGGAGAGCUGUGUUAUGGAGAGCUAGUGAGCUGUGUUAUGUAUAGCUUCUAUAGGGAAAAAGCUAUCCUUUUAAAAGCUGACUAACUGCCUGAGAUGCACAGCUCAUAGAAUAGACAUAAUUCAUCCCAUUUCAUCUUCUCUACAUUUUAUACUCUCCAAAGUGAUACUGUACUCUAAAUGUAAUUAUUUCAUUAUAUGGCACAUUUAUGUCCAUAUUCAUCUUAUAUGGUUUGGCACAGAUUCUUCUGCUAAAAUAAAUCUUUGGAUAGUCUGAGGAAAGUUAAAUCUAGUUUACAACUGAGAUAAAAAAGUACUGUAGUUAUAAAAUUUGCUCUGAAAUGGUCAAUAAACCAUUCAACAACAAAUCACCUGGAGGAUCCUGCUAAGAUAUUAAAAGGUGACUAGAACCUGACAGCUUGUCACCCAGGGCCUAUACCAGCCUUGGGUUCAGCCCGAAAUAGAGAGUACAGCAUGACUGCUCUUCUGUUGCAUCAUCCACACCGGGAGCGGACUGAUCCCAGUUCAGUGUGACUGCUCUUCUGUUGCAUCAUCCACACCGGGAGCGGACUGAUCCCAGUCGUUCAUUAAGAGGAC